RNA transcript from Arabidopsis thaliana (thale cress), 1802 nucleotides. RefSeq lists it as uncharacterized. The transcript is spliced from 2 exons. Lineage: Eukaryota; Viridiplantae; Streptophyta; Magnoliopsida; Brassicales; Brassicaceae. The record is from RefSeq.
UUCAGUGAAAAAAAAAAAAAAAAGCACAACCUCUAAGCAAAGCAGAAUUACAAUUAAACAUAAUUGGGCCUAAUACGAGAUUGUAAGACAGAUGGGCCAUUGAAGAAGUCACAUUGCAAAGUCAGUCUUAUUUAGAAACGAACGAUAACGGAAGCUUCUCUAUAAUCUUGGGGUACUUUAGGAAUUUCGUCUGCCAUAUUGAUCCCAUUUCAUUUAUUUUUGUCCCCGUUUCCGUUACAAAGAUUUCCUUUUAUUUGUUUCCAUUCAAUAUUGUUUGUGUCUUUGUGAUACAUAGUGAGACGUGUUUAUAACCCCAGAGAGACCUAAUCGAUCGAAAUUCCCUCAAUUUGAAGAUCGUUAGUUUGUUAUCUCUUUCUCUUCUAAUUCUUUUUUUACUUAGAUGAUCUUGAUUUCCACUCUUCAAAUCAAGUAAUCUAGUCGAGUGUUUGUGUGUGUGUUCGAUUUCUGAAGAAAAACAACAAAAUUGAAUUCGUUGUUUGGGGGGAUAACGAUGAUCAGAAAGCUAAAAGGGAAGGCUCUCUGAUUUCAAAAGAGAGUGAUAGAGGAGAGAGAGAGAGAGGUUGGUGAAUGGUGAUGAUGGUGUUAUGAUGAGGGAAUGAUGAGUGGCGGAGACGAAGAUGGGCUUUUAAUAAGACACAACAGAAACAGGUCGUCAUUCCUAAACCCUAGCUUUUUCAAAAAUAUAUUUUAUUUAUUAUAAUAUCAAUGACGCAGUUACUGCUUAUAUUUUCGAAUGAGGUGACACGUCAUACGUUUAACUUGGCAAGAAAAAAAUUGAUUUUGAUUAUGAUUUGUAACUAAUCCACGAAUCGGUAAGAAAAUCUACAAAAUCUUCAUUAAUUUGAAACAGCUUCUGGUCUAAUUUUCUAUUUUAUUUCAGCAACUUGUGGUCUAAUUAGACUAUGAAACCUUCACGCAUAACUUUCUGGUGAUCCAAAAAUAAAAUCAAUUUGUAUUUUCUAUAUAAAUUAUAUACGUCAAUACGUGCAUAUAUAUAUAUAUGAGAGAGUCUAGUCUAUUAUUGAAUUGCGAAAUAAAGAAGGCAAUAGAAGUUAGUCAGAAGAGUGGUUGGGUAAAUUGAGGAUGACCAUUUAGGAAACAAAUAUUUUCAAUUUAAUUUUGCAUCGCUUUUUAGGUAUCCUACCAACUUCAUUAAUUAUAAACAUCUUUUCUCUCAAAUUGUAAAUUUUUGAUAUUUAUAUGAAACCACAGGCUGCCAAAAACAUAAAUACAUAUGAAACCACGCAUACACAUAUACAUUCGAGUCUUCAUCUUUAAUUAUGUCUACGGAUUUGUAAUUAUUUCAAAUUCAUAAACAAAAAUUUUAAAUUUAAUAGGAUGGAUUGAUGACAUUAACAAUCAUUUCUUGUUCAGGCAAGUGAUUUAAAUUGAUGACCGUCAAUUUUUCUUUUCUGCAAAGAAAAACUGAAAAUAUCAUUUUUUAGUAGUAUUAGCUAGUUUAGUAUAUAUCAUAUACGGCUUAAAUAUAUGUCGGAGAUAAUAAGUAGAGAUAGGUUUAAGCUUAGCUAGUUGGAAGUUUUCGGGGAGUUGUUUACAACGUGAAGCCAUGUUGUUGUUUCUUUCUGGCGUGGGGAAUUUUUUUUCACUUAAAAGAUUAUUGUAUUCUCCAGUUUCAUUAGUUUAUUAGUACUGAUUAAACCAGAGUUAUCUAUGUACUAAACAUUAUGUGCCUUAAGGGAUCUUGUGAAACAGAUGAUUUUUUUUUCUUAAACUCACAUUCAUCGAUAUCAAGGCAUGAAACAGAUGAUUUAAUCAAUUUU